AUUAAUUCUUCGAGAAACCUUUGGAGGGCAAGUCUGGUGCCACCAGCCGCGGUAAUUCCAGCUCCAAUAGCAUAUAUUAAAGUUGUUGCAGUUAAAAAGCUCGUAGUUGAAUUUCUGUCUGCAUCAUGGCUAUCACAUUGUGGUUUGCUAUGUAUGCAGACAUAAUCUCUCGGCUGCUAACGCUGUCAAGAGACCUUUACCUUGAGAAAAUUAGAGUGUUUCAAGCAAGCUUUGCUAUGAAUACUACAGCAUGGAAUAAUACUAUAGGACUUUAGGCCUAUUUGUUGGUUUCAGGCCUGAAGUAAUGAUUAAUAGGGACAGUUGGGGGCAUUCGUAUUUAAA
RNAcentral lists this ribosomal RNA (342 nucleotides) under Colpodella sp. RNAcentral describes it as "bacterial SSU rRNA". It matches the Rfam family "Eukaryotic small subunit ribosomal RNA", at positions 528 to 902 of the family's 1831-position model. Lineage: Eukaryota; Colpodellaceae. The record is from RNAcentral.